GAUGAACGCUGGCGGCGUGCCUAAUACAUGCAAGUCGAGCGAACAGACGAGGAGCUUGCUCCUCUGACGUUAGCGGCGGACGGGUGAGUAACACGUGGAUAACCUACCUAUAAGACUGGGAUAACUUCGGGAAACCGGAGCUAAUACCGGAUAAUAUAUUGAACCGCAUGGUUCAAUAGUGAAAGACGGUUUUGCUGUCACUUAUAGAUGUAUCCGCGCCGCAUUAGCUAGUUGGUAAGGUAACGGCUUACCAAGGCGACGAUGCGUAGCCGACCUGAGAGGGUGAUCGGCCACACUGGAACUGAGACACGGUCCAGACUCCUACGGGAGGCAGCAGUAGGGAAUCUUCCGCAAUGGGGGAAAGCCUGACGGAGCAACGCCGCGUGAGUGAUGAAGGUCUUCGGAUCGUAAAACUCUGUUAUUAGGGAAGAACAAAUGUGUAAGUAACUAUGCACGUCUUGACGGUACCUAAUCAGAAAGCCACGGCUAACUACGUG
RNAcentral lists this ribosomal RNA (497 nucleotides) under uncultured bacterium. RNAcentral's name for it is "partial 16S ribosomal RNA". It matches the Rfam family "Bacterial small subunit ribosomal RNA", at positions 28 to 507 of the family's 1533-position model. The record is from RNAcentral.